This 253-nucleotide ribosomal RNA is filed under the name uncultured bacterium. RNAcentral describes it as "partial 16S ribosomal RNA". It matches the Rfam family "Bacterial small subunit ribosomal RNA", at positions 524 to 776 of the family's 1533-position model. The record is from RNAcentral.
UACAGAGGGGGCAAGCGUUAUUCGGAAUUAUUGGGCGUAAAGGGCGCGUAGGCGGCUAGAUGUGUCAAAGGUGAAAUCCCUCGGCUCAACUGAGGAACUGCCUUUGAAACUGUCUGGCUUGAGGCCGGGAGAGGGUAGCGGAAUUCCCAGUGUAGCGGUGAAAUGCGUAGAUAUUGGGAGGAACACCAGUGGCGAAGGCGGCUACCUGGACCGGUUCUGACGCUGAGGCGCGAAAGCGUGGGUAGCAAACAGG